RNAcentral lists this ribosomal RNA (480 nucleotides) under uncultured bacterium. Its description in RNAcentral is "bacterial SSU rRNA". It matches the Rfam family "Bacterial small subunit ribosomal RNA", at positions 903 to 1397 of the family's 1533-position model. The record is from RNAcentral.
AAAGGAAUAGACGGGGACCCGCACAAGCGGUGGAGUAUGUGGUUUAAUUCGAUGGUAAACGAGGAACCUUACCUGGGCUCAACUACUAGCUGCAUAUAACCAGAAAUGGAUAUAGCCUUCGAGGGUGCUAGAUAGGUGCUGCAUGGUUGCCGUCAGCUCGUGCCGUGAGGUGUACCGUUAAGUCGGGAAACGAGCGCAACCCACGUCGUGUGUUAAAUAUACACGCGAGACUGCCCGCGCAAGCGGGAGGAAGGGGUGGACGACGUCAAAUCAGCAUGGCUCUUACGUCCAGGGCUACACACAUACUACAAUGGCCGGCACAAUGGGUUGCUAAACCGUGAGGUGGAGCUAAUCCCAUCAACUCCGGUCUCAGUUCAGAUUGAAGGCUGCAACUCGCCUUCAUGAAGUUGGAAUCGCUAGUAAACGCGUAUCAGCCACGGCGCGUUGAAUACGUUCUCGGGUCUUGUACACACCGCCCGU